Molecule: ribosomal RNA, 253 nt
Filed under: uncultured bacterium
Lineage: Bacteria
Description: partial 16S ribosomal RNA
Rfam family: Bacterial small subunit ribosomal RNA
Source: RNAcentral
UACGGAGGGUGCAAGCGUUAUCCGGAUUCACUGGGUUUAAAGGGUGCGUAGGUGGGUUGGUAAGUCAGUGGUGAAAUCUCCGAGCUUAACUUGGAAACUGCCAUUGAUACUAUCAGUCUUGAAUACCGUGGAGGUCAGCGGAAUAUGUCAUGUAGCGGUGAAAUGCUUAGAUAUGACAUAGAACACCAAUUGCGAAGGCAGCUCACUACGGGAUUAUUGACACUGAGGCACGAAAGCGUGGGGAUCAAACAGG